Molecule: ribosomal RNA, 806 nt
Filed under: uncultured beta proteobacterium
Lineage: Bacteria; Pseudomonadati; Pseudomonadota; Betaproteobacteria
Description: bacterial SSU rRNA
Rfam family: Bacterial small subunit ribosomal RNA
Source: RNAcentral
CCUGGGAAUGGCGUUUUGAACUGGCAGUCUAGAGUGCGUCAGAGGGGGGUGGAAUUCCAAGUGUAGCAGUGAAAUGCGUAGAGAUGUGGAGGAACACCGAUGGCGAAGGCAGCCCCCUGGGAUGACACUGACGCUCAUGUACGAAAGCGUGGGUAGCAAACAGGAUUAGAUACCCUGGUAGUCCACGCCCUAAACGAUGUCAACUGGUUGUUGGGGGAGUGAAAUCCCUUUAGUAACGAAGCUAACGCGUGAAGUUGGCCGCCUGGGGAGUACGGUCGCAAGAUUAAAACUCAAAGGAAUUGACGGGGACCCGCACAAGCGGUGGAUGAUGUGGAUUAAUUCGAUGCAACGCGAAAAACCUUACCUACCCUUGACAUGUCCGGAAUCCUGCAGAGAUGCGGGAGUGCCCGAAAGGGAAUCGGAACACAGGUGCUGCAUGGCUGUCGUCAGCUCGUGUCGCGAGAUGUUGGGUUAAGUCCCGCAACGAGCGCAACCCUUAUCAUUAGUUGCUACGCAAGGGCACUCUAAUGAGACUGCCGGUGACAAACCGGAGGAAGGUGGGGAUGACGUCAAGUCCUCAUGGCCCUUAUGGGUAGGGCUUCACACGUCAUACAAUGGUCGGUACAGAGGGUUGCCAAGCCGCGAGGUGGAGCCAAUCCCAGAAAGCCGAUCGUAGUCCGGAUGGUUCUCUGCAACUCGAGAGCAUGAAGUCGGAAUCGCUAGUAAUCGCGGAUCAGCAUGUCGCGGUGAAUACGUUCCCGGGUCUUGUACACACCGCCCGUCCCCCCCAUGGGAACUGGAGAGAG